Molecule: ribosomal RNA, 119 nt
Filed under: Perkinsela sp. CCAP 1560/4
Lineage: Eukaryota; Euglenozoa; Kinetoplastea; Prokinetoplastida; Perkinselidae
Source: RNAcentral
AAAUAUGAUCAUACUAUCAGGAAUGCACCACAUCCCGUCCGAUCUGUGAAGUUAAGCCUGAUCACGCCGAGUUAGUAUUGAGGUAAGUGAUUACUCAAGAACCCUUGGUGUUGUAUUCU